UUUAUUGGGCGUAAAGAGAGUGCAGGCGGUUUUCUAAGUCUGAUGUGAAAGCCUUCGGCUUAACCGGAGAAGUGCAUCGGAAACUGGAUAACUUGAGUGCAGAAGAGGGUAGUGGAACUCCAUGUGUAGCGGUGGAAUGCGUAGAUAUAUGGAAGAACACCAGUGGCGAAGGCGGCUACCUGGUCUGCAACUGACGCUGAGACUCGAAAGCAUGGGUAGCGAACAGGAUUAGAUACCCUUGUA
RNAcentral lists this ribosomal RNA (243 nucleotides) under Xanthomonas citri pv. citri. Its description in RNAcentral is "partial 16S ribosomal RNA". It matches the Rfam family "Bacterial small subunit ribosomal RNA", at positions 550 to 792 of the family's 1533-position model. The record is from RNAcentral. Lineage: Bacteria; Pseudomonadati; Pseudomonadota; Gammaproteobacteria; Lysobacterales; Lysobacteraceae.